This 697-nucleotide ribosomal RNA is filed under the name Escherichia coli. RNAcentral describes it as "bacterial SSU rRNA". It matches the Rfam family "Bacterial small subunit ribosomal RNA", at positions 288 to 976 of the family's 1533-position model. The record is from RNAcentral. Lineage: Bacteria; Pseudomonadati; Pseudomonadota; Gammaproteobacteria; Enterobacterales; Enterobacteriaceae.
UGGUCUGAGAGGAUGAUCAGUCACACCGGAACUGAGACACGGUCCGGACUCCUACGGGAGGCAGCAGUGGGGAAUAUUGGACAAUGGGGGCAACCCUGAUCCAGCCAUGCCGCGUGUGUGAAGAAGGCCUUUUGGUUGUAAAGCACUUUAAGCAGGGAGGAGAGGCUAAUGGUUAAUACCCAUUAGAUUAGACGUUACCUGCAGAAUAAGCACCGGCUAACUCUGUGCCAGCAGCCGCGGUAAUACAGAGGGUGCGAGCGUUAAUCGGAAUUACUGGGCGUAAAGCGAGUGUAGGUGGCUCAUUAAGUCACAUGUGAAAUCCCCGGGCUUAACCUGGGAACUGCAUGUGAUACUGGUGGUGCUAGAAUAUGUGAGAGGGAAGUAGAAUUCCAGGUGUAGCGGUGAAAUGCGUAGAGAUCUGGAGGAAUACCGAUGGCGAAGGCAGCUUCCUGGCAUAAUAUUGACACUGAGAUUCGAAAGCGUGGGUAGCAAACAGGAUUAGAUACCCUGGUAGUCCACGCCGUAAACGAUGUCUACUAGCCGUUGGGGUCCUUGAGACUUUAGUGGCGCAGUUAACGCGAUAAGUAGACCGCCUGGGGAGUACGGCCGCAAGGUUAAAACUCAAAUGAAUUGACGGGGGCCCGCACAAGCGGUGGAGCAUGUGGUUUAAUUCGAUGCAACGCGAAGAACCUUACCU